Molecule: transfer RNA, 69 nt
Filed under: Acanthodactylus aureus
Lineage: Eukaryota; Metazoa; Chordata; Lepidosauria; Squamata; Lacertidae
Description: tRNA-Trp
Source: RNAcentral
AAGAACUUAGGUUACACCUAAACCAGAGGCCUUCAAAGCCUAAAACAGGGAAAAAAGCCCUAGCUCUUG